UACGUAGGGUGCGAGCGUUAAUCGGAAUUACUGGGCGUAAAGGGUGCGUAGGCGGUUUGAUAAGUCUGAUGUGAAAUCCCCGGGCUCAACCUGGGAACGGCAUUGGAGACUGUCAAGCUAGAGUGCGUCAGAGGGGGGUAGAAUUCCACGUGUAGCAGUGAAAUGCGUAGAGAUGUGGAGGAAUACCGAUGGCGAAGGCAGCCCCCUGGGAUGGCACUGACGCUGAAGCACGAAAGCGUGGGGAGCAAACAGG
Molecule: ribosomal RNA, 253 nt
Filed under: uncultured bacterium
Lineage: Bacteria
Description: partial 16S ribosomal RNA
Rfam family: Bacterial small subunit ribosomal RNA
Source: RNAcentral